This 2825-nucleotide long non-coding RNA is filed under the name Sorghum bicolor (sorghum). RNAcentral describes it as "long non-coding RNA (SBIC_LNC005368)". Lineage: Eukaryota; Viridiplantae; Streptophyta; Magnoliopsida; Poales; Poaceae. The record is from RNAcentral.
GCUGGUUGGGCCCACCUGCAGUGUCCUGGAGGCUCUCUGAUGUCGGUGGAGUUGAGCUGACCUGUGGGACCCACCAAAGUGGGGUCGCCCGACCCCAAUUCUAUGGGGUUAGGGUGUCAGCCCUGUCCUACAUGUCUUCCUCUUCAUGACUAUAAUGUUGUCUUGGUUACUGGUGUCACUGAUCUUUAGUUAUUCACCCCUUCUUAGUGUUUGGACCCUUGAAAAGUACCUGUUCUUACUCCUGCAACCAAAUAGUAGCAUGUACAUGUGGAACUAGGUUAUAUGUACCUAUAUUACUACUUUGUUUGGUUGUUUUCUCCCAAAAUGAGUCUUAUGUUGACGGUUAUGAUAGUAGAAAACAUGGUAUAAAUACCGUCAACAACUAUCCCAUCAACCCAGGCCCUACUCACCCAUGCAUGCAAAAUUGUUUUAGCGAAUUAAAAAAGUCAGAACUCUUAAACCGAAGAUAUAAAUUAAAUUUCGAUUGCACCAUUAAAUUUCUUAUAAAAAAUCCUUUAAAACAAGAUCACACAUGGAUAUAUUUAGAUAAAAUUUUAUUAAUGAAUAUUUAUCUCUACAACUAAAAAUUAUGGAAACGAUCCGUCCACAACUCUCAUCCCUUUGGUGGUCUUUUUUACUGCGCGAUGACACGCUAUCCCAUCAACCUAGGCCCCACUCAUCUAUGCAUGCAAAAUUGUUUUAGCGAAUUAAAAAUAUCGUAACUCAUAAACCAAAGAUAUAAAUUAAAUUCCGAUUGCACCAUUAAAUUUCUUAUGACAAAUCCUUCUAAACAAGAUCACACAUGGAUAUAUUUAGAUAAAAUUUUAUUAAUGAAUAUUUUGUCUUAUAAAAAUAAAAUAUUUUCUUUUAUUAAGUAGAUACAAUAUUCUAGGUUCAACAGACAAUGUUCUGUCUUUGUAAAAAAAUAUUAUCGAUUUAGAAGAAUAGUAUUUUAGUUUUAGGUUUAUGAAACUGAUAUUACAAUAUACAUAAAAAUACAUAAAUAUAUGACAUAGAUAAAAAUAAUAAUAAAAUCUAGAGUAAAAAGCAUAAGAAAAAAAAUAAAAAACAAAAUGGAGAAAGGGUUACUUUUCAAAUAUCGUAAAUAUAUUUAUAGAAUAUUAACAUCACUAAAUACAUUAUAGAACAUCAUUAAAUAUAUUAUAGAACAUCAUAUCUAUUACAGAUUACAUGUAUACUAAGUGAACACCAUAAAAAACAUCAUAGAACAUCACAUGUAUACUAUGUAAACAUGACAUAACACAACAUAGAACACUAAAUAUAUACGACAUAAACAUCACAUAUAUAUAGAAAAUAAAAAUAAAAAAUAAAAUUACUAAGAGGAAAAAUAUAAAAACAAACAUGAUCAAAAAAUGAUAAAAAAUGCAUAGAGCAAAUAAAAUAAAUAAAUAAUUUAAAUAAGGAUAAAAAAGAUUAAAAGGAAUUAAAAUAUAAAAUAAAAAUGAAGAAACAUAGAAAACCUAAAAAGAAAAAAGAAAAACAAAUAGAAGUAAGGAAGAACAAUAAAACUAAAACCAAAAGAAAAAGAAAAUAAAAGGUAAAAUUAAAACGAGAAAAGAAUAAGAAAAGGACAGGAAAUAAAAUAAAAUCAAAAAAUGAAAACUGAAAAGAAAUAAAAAAGAAAGAAUAUAGACAGAAAAAAUAAAAUAACAAUAAAAAACAUAGAGUAUGUAGAUUUUAAAACCCAUAACAACGUACGGGCAUUAACCUAGUGAGGAAGAAAAGUUGCAAAGUGAACAGUGGUGGGGUUGAUUUUUUUUUUUUUGAAAAAAGUAUGGUCUCCUUUGAGAGAUUGAUAGCAUGCACUCCGCCUCAACUCGGUUUUACGUGAACUUCGAUCUGCAUGGACUUAAUUUAUAUAAUAAUAAUAACAAUAACAAUAACAACAACACCAAUAAUAAUAAUAAUAAUAAUAAUAAUAAUAAUAAUAAUAAUAAUAAUAAUAAUAAUAAUAAUAAUAAUAAUAAUAAUAAUAAUAAUAAUAAUAAUAAUAAUAUGUUAGAAAAUAUGGAUAAAAUUUAAAAAAGUCUCAUUGUAAGAUUUGAAGUAUCUUAAAAUGAUUAUAUAAACAUACUUUAAUUUACAAAUGAGAUAUGUUUUCAUACUAUAGGCAAUAUAGUUUAUAGAAGGUGGGAGUAACUACUCCUGGAGUAGGAAAAAAUAAGUAUCAUUGGAUUUAUUAUGAGAUAUGUUUUCAUACUAUUUGAUGCCAUAAUCAUUAUUAUUUUUAUCUAUAUAUUUGGUCAUGAGAUAUAUUAAUAAAAAAAUACACGUAGAAUUGUAAUAUUUUGUGGACCAGUGAGAUACCGUACAAAUGUUAUCAUUGACAAAAUAAUUAGUCAUAAACACAAAUAAAGAGGAUGAAUGUUUCUUUUUGUGCAAAUGGUGCUAUGCACGUAUCGCUCAUACAAAGCAUUAUGUUUCUUUUCUCAAGAGCCUAGGAAAUGUUACUCGUGUUCCAAGGUUGAAGGUGGGUACGAGCACAUCUUCAUUGUGCAGCUACAGAUAAUUGAGUCUCUUGGAAGCGUGGGUUUUUUCAAAGCACGUGAUAGAAAAAAAAAAGACAUGUUUAUAACACCCUUGCACGCAAUUAGAUGAUGCCAAGGAACAAAGCUUCUGUAGAUGGUGACAAGGAACUCGAUUGUUAGAAGUAAGAAAAAGGUACUAAGAAUAGUGGAGAAUUGUUUUAGCUUUUCAGUGUUCAUUGAUAGUAUCGCCGAAGGUACCAAACAUCGAGUGCCGGCAUUAAAGGGUGGCAAGCAUUGACUACAAAGGACAUGAUUUUAGCUUCAGCUUCAGCCAAU